This 358-nucleotide ribosomal RNA is filed under the name uncultured bacterium. Its description in RNAcentral is "bacterial SSU rRNA". It matches the Rfam family "Bacterial small subunit ribosomal RNA", at positions 1034 to 1392 of the family's 1533-position model. The record is from RNAcentral.
ACAGGUGCUGCAUGGCUGUCGUCAGCUCGUGUCGUGAGAUGUUGGGUUAAGUCCCGCAACGAGCGCAACCCUUGUCCUUAGUUACCAGCGGUUUGGCCGGGAACUCUAAGGAUACUGCCAGUGACAAACUGGAGGAAGGCGGGGACGACCUCAAGUCAUCAUGGCCCUUACCACCAGGGCUACACACGUGCUACAAUGGUAGGUACAGAGGGCAGCUACACAGCCAUGUGAUGCGAAUCUCAAAAAGCCUAUCGUAGUCCAGAUUGGAGUCUGCAACUCGACUCCAUGAAGUAGGAAUCGCUAGUAAUCGCGGAUCAGAAUGCCGCGGUGAAUACGUUCCCGGGCCUUGUACACACCG